This 402-nucleotide ribosomal RNA is filed under the name uncultured bacterium. RNAcentral describes it as "bacterial SSU rRNA". It matches the Rfam family "Bacterial small subunit ribosomal RNA", at positions 356 to 774 of the family's 1533-position model. The record is from RNAcentral.
AGGGAAUAUUGCAAAAUGGGCGAAAGCCCGAUGCAGCAACGCCGCGUGGGCGAUGAAGGCCUUCGGGUCGUAAAGCCCUUUUUGAGGGGAUGAGGAAGGACAGUACCCUCAGAAUAAGCCUCGGCUAACUACGUGCCAGCAGCCGCGGUAAAACGUAGGAGGCGAGCGUUAUCCGGAUUUACUGGGCGUAAAGCGCGUGCAGGCGGAUUGGAGAGUUGGAUGUGAAAGCUCCCGGCUUAACUGGGAGAGGUCGUUCAAUACUUCCAGUCUGGAGUGCAGUAGAGGGAAGUGGAAUUCCGGGUGUAGUGGUGAAAUGCGUAGAUAUCCGGAGGAACACCAGUGGCGAAAGCGGCUUCCUGGACUGUAACUGACGCUCAGACGCGAAAGCUAGGGUAGCAAACG